This 69-nucleotide transfer RNA is filed under the name Polleniopsis mongolica. Its description in RNAcentral is "tRNA-Gln". Lineage: Eukaryota; Metazoa; Arthropoda; Insecta; Diptera; Calliphoridae. The record is from RNAcentral.
UAUAUUUUGGUGUAGGAUGCACAAAAGUUUUUGAUACUUUUAGAAAUAGUUUAAUUCUAUUAAAUAUAA